AAAACGGUCCUUUUCGGGACCAAAAACCGAUCACGCAAAAUAUAA
Non-coding RNA from Oryctes borbonicus, 45 nucleotides. The record is from Rfam. NCBI's taxonomy places the organism in Eukaryota, Metazoa, Arthropoda, Insecta, Coleoptera, Scarabaeidae.